CAUCUCAGACUGUGUGCCUGACUUCGCCUCAUUUGGUUUGAAUUUACCCUUUCCUGCCAGGCAUAAAGAAAGGACCUCGGGGGUCCCAAGGAACCCCGAGGAUAACUUCUGGAGUUGAAGGCAUUUCUUCUCUGCGGACCACCCUGAGCCUGACUAUGGGGCCAGAUCAGCGGUCAUAAAGGGGCGUAGGAAUGGUACCUGGAUGCUGGCUGUGCCUGUUGGCCGAGGACUGAGUUUGAAAUUAUGUGUCUUGUUCAGCGGCUUUUGAGAGACAAGCCUGAAUAACAGGAGGCAGUGGAUUAUGGAGGACUUCAAAAUGGAGUAAACUCAAGCAGGGCGGAGCAAAGUGGA
Long non-coding RNA from Hipposideros armiger (great roundleaf bat), 351 nucleotides. RefSeq lists it as uncharacterized. NCBI's taxonomy places the organism in Eukaryota, Metazoa, Chordata, Mammalia, Chiroptera, Hipposideridae. The record is from RefSeq and is a predicted model, not a curated record. The transcript has 3 exons.